UCCCAUUUUUGUAUCACCUAACUGUCCAGAUAAUGUGGGCAAAACAAAAUGAGAAUUUUGAAAGAAGCUUUUAUAAAACUAGUUUUUAAACAUCAAAUUGGUUAUGACAGGGUCCACCAGAAUCAAAUAGUAAUCGAAGGGGUCCAUGGAUAAAACAUGGCUGAUAACCCCUGAUUUAGAGGGAAUGUAAAUGUGGAGCUCAUCACAUCACUAUUUCGCUCAGCCUUCAUCUGAGUGAAACUGUGAUGUGAUGAGUUUCAUAUUGUUUCUUUUUCCUGGUUUCACUCACAAGGCAUGAGCGAGUCACAGGGUUUAGCUCAAGGUACCAUGGGUGCAGAGCAGAACCUGAAACCAUGGGAUUAGGGGGCAAGCUUUGUAUUCAUUAAUCUUAAAUAUUUGCGUGUAGAUUCUUUUACGUCUUUCAGUCAUUUGAUUGUGGCCAUGC
Molecule: long non-coding RNA, 445 nt
Organism: Octopus sinensis (East Asian common octopus)
Lineage: Eukaryota; Metazoa; Mollusca; Cephalopoda; Octopoda; Octopodidae
Exons: 4
Source: RefSeq, a predicted model, not a curated record